Marmota flaviventris (yellow-bellied marmot) is the source of this 581-nucleotide long non-coding RNA. RefSeq lists it as uncharacterized. The record is from RefSeq and is a predicted model, not a curated record. NCBI's taxonomy places the organism in Eukaryota, Metazoa, Chordata, Mammalia, Rodentia, Sciuridae.
UCUUUUCCUGCCUGAACUUGGGUAUGACCUAUAAUGUCACCCUAUGAAUGUCACACUUUGGGGAUAAGACAGAGGAAAGAAAGAUGCAAGCCCUAUUCCCGGAAGCAGAAAAAGCGAUAAUGCCAUCAACAGUAUGAGAACAUCUUGGUUCCAGAGCGAGGUUUGGGAGACCUGCUUGUUCUGGCAGCGAGUUGGUGGAAGGGAUCCGCUAGAGACGCCAACAUAGGGGCCAGAGAUCUGCAAGAUUUGCCCUGAGUCCAAGGCCUCUCUCCACUGCCUCCCAGCCACCCUCAGCUCAGGCCUCAGAGCAGAACAGCCAGACUCAGUGUCUGCCCAGAAUCAGGAGCAGAUCCGUGGUCCAUCAGCGGCCCCUGAAGGAGAGCUGGCCGGUGGAGGAAUGAAGCAUCUCCACAGAAAGCCUCUUAUUCAAGCAUAAACUCACAGCAGUGUGGGCUCCACCUCACCCCCAAAACUGCUCUCGUGAGGGUCACAGGGACCCUUACACCUGCUCGUCUUUCCUUGGACAUCCCACAUAAAUCAGAUUCAACAUGGCCCCAAUAAACUCAUCAAUUGCCUCCAGA